GUGGAAUCAAAAGUCAUAGGCCUAAUCAUCAAUCAAAUAUGAAAUAUAAAACCCAAAUAUAAUCUACAUAUAAAGACAACAUGUCAUCUACAUGUGUUAUAGAAUAGCUCCCUUCUCACAUCCCAGGUCAUGUUUGGACUGGAACGUGACAACUCAACGGGCUAUGCGCAUCUCCCCAAUAGCCUACAGACAACUUUCCUGAGUGCAAUGUCAUUAAUGUGACCGAUAUGUACAGAAUAAUAAGCAUAGUGAAGAAGGAAAAGAUCCCACCUCUGACGCACAGCAGAGACAUCGCUGCUGAGAUUUCCCCUGGAGUAAGAGUCCCUCAAGAAUGUAAAAACAGUCAUUGCGUUUCAAUGAAUGUCCUCCCCAAACGCUUGUUGCAUCGUGAACUAUCCUCCCAGUCCCUUGGGAGUUCAGCGGAUGGAUGAUGCGCCGCUGCCAUUUACUUGGAUGAGAAGUUGGACGAACGCUCCUCCAGCUCACGAUACGAAAUGGUGGAGAACAACAGAGUAAUGAUGUGUCGUUCACGAACGAACGGCUCUUUUUGAACGGAUCUUUUUGUUGAACCUCGGGAACCGAAUUGCAUCGGUGAAAGAGCCAUUCAUCUGGCUCUAUGAUUUGCAUACUGCUACUACUGCUUGUUGAGCUCAGAACAACGUUUUUCUGUAGAUAAAUUACAACAUCAUUAUCUAAAGGGGGUGAAUCCUCACUGCAGAAAUAAUAAAUAGUGGGGAGAGAGAUGUGAUUGUAUGUUUGUUUGUACAGUUAUGGCUGUAAUGUUAUUAUUUUGUGUUCUCACUAAACACCCACAUUUGUAUUUGUGUGGGAAAUGUUUGUAGGCUAUGGUUGCUGUUUGUAUUUCAUUGAACUUUAGGCCCAUACAAAGACAAAUCACACAACAUAGAAUUCCAAAUAACCUUUGGCAAAAAUACACGAAAUAAAAGUCAAGUGAAAAUAGUUAUAAAUGUCUUUAUCAAUUAUGAGUAGCUAAACUGAUCUACUUUUGGACACUGGUGCGCAGGAGAACCCCUAGCUGUCAAUCAAGCAGGCGCGGUGAACGGAUUAUGACGCUCAAGCGUUCCAAAUGACGCAACAAUACAGCUCCAGACCAGAGGAAGUUAAUGCCGAAGAUAUCAUUCGGUUCCACACUAAAACUGAGGUUUGACACGUGUGAUUUGAGUUGUGCUGAUGCAUGAUGGGUUGUAGGCUAGAGCUUGAGGACUCAACUCUGAAGACUGUUUCUGAAUUCACUGACCUGAAAUAAAACUUGUAGACCUUUCCUGCAGUCUCUGAGGAGAUGGACAGCUCUUCUUCUUCUGGACGAUCUCCGUCUCCUACUGGGACUGUCUUCUUACCCCCUCCUAUCAUGUGGAACAGUCUCUACAAGCAGGCAGAGAUGGAGCUUCACUUCCCGAGAGAAGAGAAGAAGACCUAUACAGAGAAGGAAGCCCACAUGCUUGAGUUGAUGGGGAAGGAUCGAACGAUCCGAAACCAGAAGAAGGAGAUGGACAGACUUCAAGUCUGCCUCUGGGAGGAGGAAAAGAAGAAGAGGAAUGGUGGAACGGAGAAGGACAAGAUCAUUGAACAAUUACAGUCUGAGACAGACCAUCUCCGAGCCCUUUUAAAAGAUGAAAGGAGGAGAAGAAGAGUAGAAAGGGGUAUCAUGAAAGAGUGGAAGGCUGAGAUCCUGAGACUGAGGGAGGCAGAGAGCCAGAGGGAGGCAGAGAGCCAGAG
Molecule: long non-coding RNA, 1737 nt
Organism: Oncorhynchus tshawytscha (Chinook salmon)
Lineage: Eukaryota; Metazoa; Chordata; Actinopteri; Salmoniformes; Salmonidae
Source: Ensembl